UGAAUUUGGUGGUGGAGGUGAUGAGUAUAUGUAUACAGGUGGUGGAGGUGGUGAAUUUGGUGGUGGAGGAGGCGGAGGUGGUGGUGAAUUGUAGUAGUAAGGUGAAGGGGGUGGAGGUGAGUGAGCAAGCGGUGGUGGCGGAGGAGGUGGUGAAUUUGGUGGUGGAGGUGGUGGUGAGCGUACACAAUAAGGUAAUGGUGAUGGAGGAGGAGGUGAUGGUGGUGGUGGUGGUGGUGGUGGCGAGUAAACAGGUGGUGGAGGAGGUGGUGGUGAUGGUGGAGUAGGAGAGGGUGGUGGUGGCGAAUAAACAGGUGGGGGGGGUGGAGGAGGUGGAGGUGGCGGAGAGGGAGGUGGCGGAGAGGGAGGUGAAUAAACGGGAGGUGGAGGUGACGGAGGAGGCGGAGGAGGUGAAUAAACGGGAGGUGGAGGCGGAGGAGGCGAUGGAGGAGGUGGUGGUGGUGGUGAAGGUGAAGGAGGAUUAUAAACUGGUGGUGGCGGAGGCGAAUAGACGGGCGAUGGAGGGGGAGAAAUGGGCACGACGACAACAGGAGGCGGAGGCGGAGGCGGAGGCGGAGGCGGAGGCGGAGGCGGAGGUGCAGGCAAAACAGGAACAAACUUACGACACUUAAAAGCACUACAAUGUAUCCUUUUAGACAAAAAGGCCUUGCAUUGAGCAGCACUCCUUUGUGAAGGCCUAUUCACCAAACAAUUCUUUUCAUCAUGAAACUCCGAUAAUCCCAAA
This 742-nucleotide long non-coding RNA is filed under the name Capsicum annuum. RNAcentral's name for it is "long non-coding RNA (CANN_LNC020473)". Lineage: Eukaryota; Viridiplantae; Streptophyta; Magnoliopsida; Solanales; Solanaceae. The record is from RNAcentral.